GACGGAGGAGGCAAGCGUUAUCCGGAAUUAUUGGGCGUAAAGCGUCCGCAGGUGGCGGUUCAAGUCUGCUGUCAAAGGUCGGGGCUUAACCCCGGGAUGGCAGUCGAAACUGAAUAGCUAGAGUGCGGUAGGGGCAGAGGGAAUUCCCGGUGUAGCGGUGCAAUGCGUAGAAAUCGGGAAGAACACCAGUGGCGAAAGCGCACAGCAGGGCCUACCCUGACACUGAGGGACGAAAGCUAGGGGAGCGAAAGGG
Molecule: ribosomal RNA, 253 nt
Filed under: uncultured bacterium
Lineage: Bacteria
Description: partial 16S ribosomal RNA
Rfam family: Bacterial small subunit ribosomal RNA
Source: RNAcentral